Molecule: ribosomal RNA, 381 nt
Filed under: uncultured archaeon
Lineage: Archaea
Description: bacterial SSU rRNA
Rfam family: Archaeal small subunit ribosomal RNA
Source: RNAcentral
UAACACCAGCGCCACAAGUGGCAACCGCUUUUAUUGGGCCUAAAGCGUCCGUAGCCGGUUUAGUAAAUUUCCUGUGAAAUCGUUAGGCUUAACUUAACAACGUGCAGGAAAGACUACUAGACUAGGGACCGGGAGGCGUCAGAGGUAUUCCUGAGGGAGCGGUAAAAUGCUAUAAUCUCAGGAGGACCCCCUGUGGCGAAGGCGUCUGACGAGAACGGAUCCAACGGUGAGGGACGAAAGCCAAGGGAGCGAACCGGAUUAGAUACCCGAGUAGUCUUGGCUGUAAACUCUGCGAGCUAGGUGUUGCAUAUUCUUCGGGAAUAUGCAGUGUCGAAGCGAAGGUGUUAAGCUCGCCGCCUGGGAAGUAUGGUUGCAAGACUG